GAUGAACGCUAGCUACAGGCUUAACACAUGCAAGUCGAGGGGCAGCAUGACCUAGCAAUAGGUUGAUGGUGACCGGCGCACGGGUGAGUAACACGUAUCCAACCUGCCGAUUAUUCCGGGAUAGCCUUUCGAAAGAAAGAUUAAUACUGGAUAGCAUAACGAGAAGGCAUCUUCUUGUUAUUAAAGAAUUUCGAUAAUCGAUGGGGAUGCGUUCCAUUAGUUUGUUGGCGGGGUAACGGCCCACCAAGACAUCGAUGGAUAGGGGUUCUGAGAGGAAGGUCCCCCACAUUGGAACUGAGACACGGUCCAAACUCCUACGGGAGGCAGCAGUGAGGAAUAUUGGUCAAUGGACGAGAGUCUGAACCAGCCAAGUAGCGUGAAGGAUGACUGCCCUAUGGGUUGUAAACUUCUUUUAUAUGGGAAUAAAGUGGGCCACGUGUGGCUUUUUGUAUGUACCAUACGAAUAAGGAUCGGCUAACUCCGUG
RNAcentral lists this ribosomal RNA (485 nucleotides) under uncultured bacterium. RNAcentral's name for it is "partial 16S ribosomal RNA". It matches the Rfam family "Bacterial small subunit ribosomal RNA", at positions 28 to 507 of the family's 1533-position model. The record is from RNAcentral.